CCAGACACUAACAUCUGCAACAGACUUUAAGAUCCUUGGAUGAGAGUUGCUACAUACAUUAUUACACACAUCCCACAUGCAGCCUAAGUACUUUUUUCAUAUCAAUUACUAGUUAAGCACUCAUGGGCAUGGAGAUGCAAGAGGCACAAAGAAAGACACAGACCCCACCCAGAGGAAUUUUCAGUCUAAAGCCUCCUACUUGUAUCCGUCUUGAAAGAGCAAUAGAAAUGGCUUUUUUGGCAGCAUUCAUGAGCAAUAAAAACCUGCAGCUGCUCAGCUUUGUCAUCAACCAGCAGUUAGUACUGAAUAAAUAAUAACAGGAGAUACUAAUAUGGCACCUUCUGAUUUAAGGAACAGAGUUUUCAGAUGUGCUAAGGAGAUUAUGGCCCAUUUUCAAUCUAGGGGCAGACUUUCAAAGGUACAUGGCUGCCUAAGGGAACAGUAAAUUUAAUCCUAGUGAAAUGUAUUAGGUGGAAGAAUGGAAUCUACACAGAACAGCUACAACUAGGGCAGUUGCAAGGAGAACCUAGGAGCCCGUUACAGGACUUUAUUGUGCCAGAUCUUGCGGGGUCCUUGAAGGAACAAUCCAGGCCUUUGUGGAGGCCGAGAAUGUCAUGUGAAAAGAAACCUCCCUGCAAUGACCAAUGAUGUAACUUAUCAUCUGCGUUCUUUUUGUCCUUAAGGGCGCAGCAUAAGCUAUGAGGCAGGCCUGUAACGGACUGGCGCAGUUUGGGACUGGGAUCUUACCACAACAGGCUGGCAUACGGGGGAGGGCAACAAGAGCCUCAGAACUCCCUGUUUUGUAAAGUUUGAUCAGAAGAGGCUGCAAAACAAAACUAAACUAAAAAAAAACCCCCCAAAGGAUCUGAAAUAGGAGGCAAAGAGUACAUCACUGACUGGUGGUCUGCCAGUUAUCUCAGGUCGCAGGGAUAAUGUUGAGAGGCAAGAAUUUUUGUGGGUGAUAUCUUUUAUUGGACCAACUGUAUGGUUGGUAUAGUAAUAGGCAAGCUUUCUGGUAUCACAGUACCCUUUGUCAGGGAUAAAUGUUGGAUGCUCUCUGGAAACAAUACCAUGGAAGGAGGGAGGGGAGUGAUAUUAGUAGUCAUUAGUACUUUCUUUCCUCUAGCCCAGCUCUGACAAUGCACCUAUCCCAAAGCCUCUCCAAGGCCCUGGAGAGACUCCAGCUGAGUCUACUGGGCUUUGAAGUAAGCUGUGAAUGUGGAACCCCUAAAAUGUAGCUAAAGUACCUAGUUUCUGAUGAACAGUAGAGUGGUCUCACAGGAGCCUGGAUGCACUGUAGUGAAAAUGUCUGCAGUUGUUCCCUUUCAGUGUUGGAGAGAGGGAUGGGAACAGGGGAAUGUGGAUCCACAUCUUUGCCACCCUUCCCUGCCCCACACACCCACCCACCUCUGCCCCACCUGCCAGGAGAGUAUCAGGCCAUGUCUGUUAGGAUGAAGAUCCUUCAGGAGCAGCCACAGUCUGUUUGCAUAUGUGCCCCAGGAUGGAGCUGGCAGGCUAGAUAGGCUGGGCAUUUCAGAAUUGGCUCACUAUCCUAGAUUUAUCUUCCUAUGUGGCGGCAUUUCAGAGGCAGAGGGGUUGGCCUAGUAGUGUGUAAAGCUCAGACUGGAUGUGCUGCCUCAAGUAACCUCAUGAAGCUCUGGAUGCUUCUUCAAGCCCCUAGAGCGGGUAGCAUUGGGCUUGGCAUCCUUGUCCGGUUUUGUGCUUUCAGAUCAAACUCUCUACCUCUCCCACCCCACCCUGUUGAAUGUCCUCUCUCUUGGGAUUGAACUUUCCCCCUACUAGAGUCAGGUCUUCAGGGUCACAAGAAAAACCAAAAGGAAUGUAACAAAAUAUAGAGAUGCAGUUCGUUUGAAGAAAAAGCGUGGAUUGGUUUUGCUCACCCCCAGUAUUACCCGAGCCAGAACCCAGGCUUGCAAACAGCUACAAGUUCCCAGCACAGGGUGGGGAGCCAUGCUUAUGGGGGGGUGCAAGGAUCCAAAGAUUGUAUAGAUGUAAAAACAGAAGAGCCCUCUCCAAGGUAUAAAGGCAGUACUCAUGGCUAUAGGGCUAGAGCUCAGGGUCCAAGGCAAAACAGAGCAGCUUACACUGUGGGUGCUGACGGAUGUGCACCUCCACACUACUCAUGGCGCUUCACAGAAAGCACCAUGAGUUUGCUCCCCCCCCUCCACGCACACAGACAUUUACUGUUGGGUCAGGGGCAUGGGGGAAUUGAGCUCUACUUUGGAGCCAAUCCAGGAGUUGCUGCCUUUCUCCCAUAACACCCCUCCCCUCUCCCCCCCCAGCUCUGGUGCUGUCUGAAGGAUGGGAGUGGGGAGAAAGGAGCGGAGGGGGCUCAGGCUGGGGUUUGUCCAGUCCAGAGGCAGGCAAUUAUUUUGGGGAGAGGGCCGCUUACUGAGUUUUGGCAAGCCAUUGAGGGCCACAUGACAGGCAGCCCAGGGCAGAUAAAUAUUUAAUUUUCUAAAUUCUUUAGGGGCCCCGCAGGCCAGAUAGAAUGGCCUGGCAGGCUGCAUCCGGCCCCAGGUCACAUUUAGCCCACCCCUGGUCCAGCCUGAGCUGGAGGAAGGGCAGGUGAAUUGGAGCGGUCCUGAGAGACACCUGUCCCAGGCCUGUCUGUACCUGCUACUCCCCAGAGUCUCCCCAUCUAAUAACUGGCAGUUAAUAGUUCCUGAGUCUCGCACUCUGGUGGUGUUUUUUUGAACCCCCAGCUCCUGGAGUCACAUGAUUGCAACAGAAUCUCAUUCUUCUUUAAGUUCAAGGUCUAUUCUAACCUUGGUGACAGGAAAACCUGAAAACUCCACAUCAUCAAGCUGCCAAAACUAGGUGGAUAAUGGAUUAAACGCUCACUAUUUCUUACAUUCUCCUGGUGGUUUUUGGCUGGACCUGACUUGCAGUCUGCGAAUGUGCAAGGUGGGUGGUGCCACAAUCAGCUUUUGUGUUUGAAAGGUCAGUGCCCACAGAGAGAGCCAGCUUUGUUCUUACUGCUCUCCCCUCUAAGAGAACAAACUAGGUUUCCAGAAAUAUUCCCUUCUGGCCUUCCAUCAGUCCUGCAAGGCACCAGAAUAACCUGGGUGAGGCAGGGGGAGCCUACUGGGCCUUGUUAAUCAUUAUCCUGUUGCACUUUGUCUUCAGCAAGGCAGGCACCUUGAGGCUAUAGGACUUGGAUAUAGAGGCUUCCCCUGCACAGAUCCUUUAUACACAGAUCUGGAACUGCUGGUCUUCCCAAUCCCCACAGCACAGGCUAAGCUCUGGGCAAGGAAGACAGGAUGUGACAAGAGCAGGUAUGCUUCUGCAGUCCUACAAGGCUCAUUGAAUUAGAGGUGCCAGUUGGGGCUGCUGAAGCCUACCCCAAGCCUUGCACUGGCUCCCACAGACCCUUAUAUGCCUGCCUUUCCAACCUUUAGUUAAUUCUUGCUCCAGAAGGAAGUUGAAUCUGCCCCAGUGAACACUCCUGCAGCCAGGGUGGGACUUGUUUCCUCUAUAGAGCCACAAACAGGCUGAUUGCAUAUCUACAGACCCUCACCCAGAUCUUCAUGGCUUUAGUGAGAAGCAGCUCCAUUAUCUGGUCCCACCAACUGCAUGUUUAUGUUCAGGGGUAUAGGUUGUAGCUGUGUUGGUCUAAGGACAUAGGUAGACAAGGUUCUUUGGAUAAAUCUGAAAUAAAAGAUAUUGGAUUUACUUAAAGAUAUUGCAUUUACCCAAAGAACCAUGUCUGUGUAUGUCUAUGUUCAAUGAUGCUUACCAUAAUGAUCUUAACUGCUGCGACGGGCUAGCUGGCAGUGACUUAGCCCAGGGGUUUUGAAAGGGCAAAAGAUGAUUGAAGGACUUGGGAUUCCCUUUCCUCACCAAUCAGGCCCCAGAGACUCACCCUCCGUGUCCCCCAAUUGGCCCCUUGGGUCACCUUGAGGGGGAUAAAAGGGGCAGCGUGGCUGACUCAAGAGAGACCAGCAAGGAACCACAAGGAAGGAGCUUCAAAGAGCUGGGCCAGUGGGGUGGGAGCAGUUGCCCCAGAAGUACCUGGAGUGGGACCUGCAGGCAGCAGUUGGACCCUCAGCAGUGCGGCGUGCGGUCGGCAGGAGAGGCUCCCUGCUUGGCUCCAGGAUCCCCUAUGAGAAGGUGCGGCCAGCAGGAGAGGUUCCCCAGCUCCAGCAAGCAUCUAAGCAGUGACCUGAGAGGUCCCCAGCUCUGCUUCCAGCUCCUCCAAUAAGAGCCCAGGCAGCUCAACAUGAGGUUGGGGUUCUUAGAAGGUCAAGACCCCUUGCAGCUUAGAGCAAUACUAGCAGUGGUGGUUGUGUAGUAGAGUUUCUACCUACCAUGUGGGAGAUUCAAGUUCAAGUCCCAGUUGGGGUGAGUGAAGUAACAGUGAGAAAUCCUUGUUGCAGAGGAAAGGAGUCACUGUUUUCCCUCUUUUCCCCCCCCCUCCAGGUACCUAGGCCCUAUAUUCCUUGUUAUUUGACAUUUUGUAUUUUGUGCCUUUUAUAUUUCACCAGCCAGUAUUGUUUGUUCUGCUGUUUGUGUUUUAUAUUUUGUUAACCCUGUCUUUUGUCAAUGAUUGCAAGCAUCUAACCUUUGUUGAAUCCUGUCCCCUUGGGGCAUUGUAGUGUCCCCUAUACCCCCUGGUUUAUGCCUGUUAUGUUCCCAGUACUGUUCUCAUUAAAAGGUAUAUGGUUG
Molecule: long non-coding RNA, 4689 nt
Organism: Alligator mississippiensis (American alligator)
Lineage: Eukaryota; Metazoa; Chordata; Crocodylia; Alligatoridae
Exons: 4
Source: RefSeq, a predicted model, not a curated record